GCCUGGCUAGCUCAAUCGGUAGAGCGUGAGACUCUUAAACCAGUCAUCUCAAGGUUGUGGGUUCGACCCCCACGUUAGGCU
Transfer RNA from Rhizoctonia solani, 81 nucleotides. It matches the Rfam family "tRNA". Rfam says of the family: Transfer RNA (tRNA) molecules are approximately 80 nucleotides in length. Their secondary structure includes four short double-helical elements and three loops (D, anti-codon, and T loops). Further hydrogen bonds mediate the characteristic L-shaped molecular structure. tRNAs have two regions of fundamental functional importance: the anti-codon, which is responsible for specific mRNA codon recognition, and the 3' end, to which the tRNAs corresponding amino acid is attached (by aminoacyl-tRNA synthetases). tRNAs cope with the degeneracy of the genetic code in two manners: having more than one tRNA (with a specific anti-codon) for a particular amino acid; and 'wobble' base-pairing, i.e. permitting non-standard base-pairing at the 3rd anti-codon position. The record is from Rfam. NCBI's taxonomy places the organism in Eukaryota, Fungi, Basidiomycota, Agaricomycetes, Cantharellales, Ceratobasidiaceae.